This 274-nucleotide ribosomal RNA is filed under the name uncultured bacterium. RNAcentral's name for it is "partial 16S ribosomal RNA". It matches the Rfam family "Bacterial small subunit ribosomal RNA", at positions 523 to 796 of the family's 1533-position model. The record is from RNAcentral.
AUACGGAGGGUGCGAGCGUUAAUCGGAAUUACUGGGCGUAAAGGGUGCGUAGGCGGCUUGAUAAGUCGGAUGUGAAAGCCCCGGGCUUAACCUGGGAAUUGCAUUCGAUACUGUCAGGCUAGAGUAUGUCAGAGGUUGGCGGAAUUCCUGGUGUAGCGGUGAAAUGCGUAGAUAUCAGGAGGAACACCAGUGGCGAAGGCGGCUAACUGGGACAAUUCUGACGCUGAGGCACGAAAGCGUGGGGAGCAAACAGGAUUAGAAACCCUAGUAGUCC